This 545-nucleotide ribosomal RNA is filed under the name Flavobacterium sp. MS-YH-1723. Its description in RNAcentral is "bacterial SSU rRNA". It matches the Rfam family "Bacterial small subunit ribosomal RNA", at positions 201 to 746 of the family's 1533-position model. The record is from RNAcentral. Lineage: Bacteria; Pseudomonadati; Bacteroidota; Flavobacteriia; Flavobacteriales; Flavobacteriaceae.
UUAAAGUCACAACGGUGAAAGAUGAGCAUGCGUCCCAUUAGCUAGUUGGUAAGGUAACGGCUUACCAAGGCAACGAUGGGUAGGGGUCCUGAGAGGGAGAUCCCCCACACUGGUACUGAGACACGGACCAGACUCCUACGGGAGGCAGCAGUGAGGAAUAUUGGUCAAUGGACGCAAGUCUGAACCAGCCAUGCCGCGUGCAGGAUGACGGUCCUAUGGAUUGUAAACUGCUUUUGUACGAGAAGAAACAACAUUACGUGUAAUGUCUUGACGGUAUCGUAAGAAUAAGGAUCGGCUAACUCCGUGCCAGCAGCCGCGGUAAUACGGAGGAUCCAAGCGUUAUCCGGAAUCAUUGGGUUUAAAGGGUCCGUAGGCGGUUUAGUAAGUCAGUGGUGAAAGCCCAUCGCUCAACGGUGGAACGGCCAUUGAUACUGCUGAACUUGAAUUAUUAGGAAGUAACUAGAAUAUGUAGUGUAGCGGUGAAAUGCUUAGAGAUUACAUGGAAUACCAAUUGCGAAGGCAGGUUACUACUAAUGGAUUGACGC